GACGAACGCUGGCGGCGUGCUUAACACAUGCAAGUCGAACGGAAAGGCCCUGCUUUUGUGGGGUGCUCGAGUGGCGAACGGGUGAGUAACACGUGAGUAACCUGCCCUUGACGUUGGGAUAACUUCAGGAAACUGGGGCUAAUACCGGAUAGGAGCUCCUGCUGCAUGGUGGGGGUUGGAAAGUUUCGGCGGUUGGGGAUGGACUCGCGGCUUAUCAGCUUGUUGGUGGGGUAGUGGCUUACCAAGGCUUUGACGGGUAGCCGGCCUGAGAGGGUGACCGGCCACAUUGGGACUGAGAUACGGCACAGAACCCUACGGGAGGCAGCAGUGGGGAAUAUUGCACAAUGGGCGGAAGCCUGAUGCAGCAACGCCGAGUGCGGGAUGACGGCCUUCGGGUUGUAAACCGCUUUCGCCUGUGACGAAGCGUGAGUGACGGUAAUGGGUAAAGACGCACCGGCUAACUACGUG
RNAcentral lists this ribosomal RNA (468 nucleotides) under uncultured bacterium. Its description in RNAcentral is "partial 16S ribosomal RNA". It matches the Rfam family "Bacterial small subunit ribosomal RNA", at positions 28 to 507 of the family's 1533-position model. The record is from RNAcentral.